RNAcentral lists this long non-coding RNA (341 nucleotides) under Mytilus galloprovincialis (Mediterranean mussel). Lineage: Eukaryota; Metazoa; Mollusca; Bivalvia; Mytilida; Mytilidae. The record is from RNAcentral.
CACAAAUAAAGAGGAAUACACACAAUGUGUGAAGUAGGCCAUAUAUACAUUUAAGUUGAUGAAUUCAAUAUAUAGUUUGUUUUUUAAUAUUUUCUUAACAAUAUAUAAUUAUUUCAACGUCCUACUUAAAGCAUGCCCGAGCCUUGUGCAGGAUAUCUUGGUAGUUUUAAAUAUUUUCAAAACACACAAAUAAACAUUGCGCGGGCUACUUGAGGUAUGCCUGACCCCCUGUAUGCACGAUAUCUUGGUAGUUUUAAACGUUUUCAUAAAAUAUAAGUAAACAUAUUCGCGGACUUAACUUGAAGUAUGCCAGAGCCUUGUGUUAGUUUAAAUGUUCCUGA